This 460-nucleotide ribosomal RNA is filed under the name uncultured bacterium. Its description in RNAcentral is "partial 16S ribosomal RNA". It matches the Rfam family "Bacterial small subunit ribosomal RNA", at positions 338 to 795 of the family's 1533-position model. The record is from RNAcentral.
CCUACGGGUGACAGCAGUGAGGAAUAUUGGUCAAUGGACGAUAGUCUGAACCAGCCAAGUAGCGUGAAGGAUGACUGCCCUAUGGGUUGUAAACUUCUUUUAUAUGGGAAUAAAGCGUAGCAUGUGUAGUAUUUUGUAUGUACCAUAUGAAUAAGGAUCGGCUAACUCCGUGCCAGCAGCCGCGGUAAUACGGAGGAUCCGAGCGUUAUCCGGAUUUAUUGGGUUUAAAGGGAGCGUAGGUGGAUUGUUAAGUCAGUUGUGAAAGUUUGCGGCUCAACCGUAAAAUUGCAGUUGAAACUGGCAGUCGUGAGUACAGUAGAGGUAGGCGGAAUUCGUGGUGUAGCGGUGAAAUGCUUAGAUAUCACGAAGAACUCCGAUUGCGAAGGCAGUUCACUGGACUGUAACUGACACUGAGGCUCGAAAGUGUGGGUAUCAAACAGGAUUAGAUACCCGAGUAGUC